Molecule: ribosomal RNA, 253 nt
Filed under: uncultured bacterium
Lineage: Bacteria
Description: partial 16S ribosomal RNA
Rfam family: Bacterial small subunit ribosomal RNA
Source: RNAcentral
UACGAACUGUGCGAACGUUAUUCGGAAUCACUGGGCUUACAGGGUGCGUAGGCGGCUUUGCAAGUCAGGUGUGAAAGCCCCCGGCUCAACCGGGGAAUUGCGCUUGAAACUGCUUGGCUCGAGUCAGCUAGAGGUACACGGAACUUCCAGUGGAGCGGUGAAAUGUGUUGAUAUUGGAAGGAACACCGGAGGCGAAAGCGGUGUACUGGGGCUGGUCUGACGCUGAGGCACGAAAGCCAGGGUAGCGAACGGG